CGUAAUUAGCAGUCAAACAAUUAGCAGAGAGGAGAGAGAGAGAGAGGAGAGAGAGAGAGGAGUGUGACACAGACUACAACAACAAAUUAGGAUUCCAAACUGUGCAAGAUUGGAGAUGAGAGUAAGGGGAAAAAAAAGUAGCUUGCAAAGCAAAAUAACAGAGACCAUGAGAGUGCAACUUAGUCUGGCUCCCGUCAACCUUAUCAAAAGUGUUUUGAUAAUAAAAGCUGCACCAAUGUCUAUCUCUUUAUCGGCCUCUGGGUACUUUUCCUCCAUGUUUGGUGAUGUAGCUAACAAAGGGAGGAUUCCACCACAAGUUGACUUUCAAGCAGGGUCUUGGUGGUCCAUAGACUCUGAUGCUCCUUGUCUUCUUGUGUUUGCUGAUACUGAUAAGGCUGUUUCAACUCACCUAAUCUCAUCUUACAAUUAGACCAUGAGAGUGCAACUUAGUCUGGCUCCCGUCAACCUUAUCAAAAGUGUUUUGAUAAUAAAAGCUGCACCAAUGUCUAUCUCUUUAUCGGCCUCUGGGUACUUUUCCUCCAUGUUUGGUGAUGUAGCUAACAAAGGGAGGAUUCCACCACAAGUUGACUUUCAAGCAGGGUCUUGGUGGUCCAUAGACUCUGAUGCUCCUUGUCUUCUUGUGUUUGCUGAUACUGAUAAGGCUGUUUCAACUCACCUAAUCUCAUCUUACAAUUGUGAGUUUUAUACAUUACAAUUACAUUUUUUUUAGGAAAAAAAAACUUUAAAGGUGCCAAGUGCUCACCGGCACCGGAGCCCUAGGUUUUCCCUUCUCCUUCACCACCUCGCGGCGACUCCUUGCAUUGCCUUGCCUCUUCGUUUGCUGUCGCCGAAGGUGUGCCCUUGCCGGAUCCCUCUGCCGAAGUGUCGCCGCCGCACGUGACAGCGCUGGUAACACUCGAGCCAACACAGCCGUUGACCCCUCUUCUAGCCUCUGCCCCGACUCCAGUGGUGCUAUCCCUGUGCCUUAAUUCAUGACCGCCGCCCCUCUGCUGCAAUUUGGCAGCACAACCACCACUGGUGAGCCUUGUUUGCCGACCUCAACAGCCCUUUCGGUGACUGCUGUUUGGGGUGAGGUGUUAAUGGUGGAUGGAGGAUAGAUUCAUCAUGGGUUUGGUUUCGGACCGGAGAAAAUAGUGCCAAAUCCUUUAUUGUGUUUCUGCUCGACAGUGCCGAAGACGACACAGAGCUAUGCCGUAGUCGGAUCUUGGAGUGAAGAAUUUUCAGCAGCCAACGUCCCUUAAUGGCAGCAAGUUCCAGCCAGCAACUCUUUGGUUUCAGUACAAACUAGUGGCUGUGAAUUAAGGACUUUGACACAAGACGAGCAUCUCGAUGUUGGAUUUGAUUGGAUUGAACCUGCUUUUGGAGGCGGGUACCUCUUGACUUAUCUUUUAUGAUAUUGUCAUUGGAUAUGUAUAGUAUUUUAUAACUACAUGCAAUGAACAUGUUUGCCUUUGGUA
Molecule: long non-coding RNA, 1478 nt
Organism: Zingiber officinale
Lineage: Eukaryota; Viridiplantae; Streptophyta; Magnoliopsida; Zingiberales; Zingiberaceae
Exons: 6
Source: RefSeq, a predicted model, not a curated record